AUAACGACUCUCGGCAACGGAUAUCUCGGCUCUCGCAUAAUGAAUAACGUANCGNAUUGCUAUACUUGGUGUUAAUUGCACAAUCCCGUGAACCAUCGAGUCUUUGAACGCAAGUUGCGCCCGAAGCCAUUCGGCCGAGGGCACGUCUGCCUGGGCGUCACGC
RNAcentral lists this ribosomal RNA (163 nucleotides) under Salvia mexicana var. minor. RNAcentral's name for it is "5.8S ribosomal RNA". It matches the Rfam family "5.8S ribosomal RNA". Rfam says of the family: 5.8S ribosomal RNA (5.8S rRNA) is a component of the large subunit of the eukaryotic ribosome. It is transcribed by RNA polymerase I as part of the 45S precursor that also contains 18S and 28S rRNA. Lineage: Eukaryota; Viridiplantae; Streptophyta; Magnoliopsida; Lamiales; Lamiaceae. The record is from RNAcentral.